This 293-nucleotide ribosomal RNA is filed under the name uncultured bacterium. RNAcentral's name for it is "partial 16S ribosomal RNA". It matches the Rfam family "Bacterial small subunit ribosomal RNA", at positions 775 to 1067 of the family's 1533-position model. The record is from RNAcentral.
GGAUUAGAUACCCUGGUAGUCCACGCCGUAAACGAUGUCGACUAGCCGUUGGGGUCCUUGAGGCCUUAGUGGCGUAGCUAACGCGCUAAGUCGACCGCCUGGGGAGUACGGCCGCAAGGUUAAAACUCAAAUGAAUUGACGGGGGCCCGCACAAGCGGUGGAGCAUGUGGUUUAAUUCGAAGCAACGCGAAGAACCUUACCUACUCUUGACAUCCUGGAAACUUAGCAGAGAUGCUUUGGUGCCUUCGGGAAUCCAGUGACAGGUGCUGCAUGGCUGUCGUCAGCUCGUGCCG